GACGCUCGACACCUACGGAAGGCAGCAGUGGGGAAUAUUGCACAAUGGGGGAAACCCUGAUGCAGCGACGCCGCGUGAGCGAAGAAGUAUUUCGGUAUGUAAAGCUCUAUCAGCAGGGAAGAAACUGACGGUACCUGACUAAGAAGCACCGGCUAAAUACGUGCCAGCAGCCGCGGUAAUCUGAGCGGGCUGGCAAGGC
Molecule: ribosomal RNA, 199 nt
Filed under: uncultured bacterium
Lineage: Bacteria
Description: partial 16S ribosomal RNA
Rfam family: Bacterial small subunit ribosomal RNA
Source: RNAcentral